UACGUAGGGUGCGAGCGUUAAUCGGAAUUACUGGGCGUAAAGCGUGCGCAGGCGGUAAGUUAAGUCUGAUGUGAAAGCCCCGGGCUCAACCUGGGAAUGGCAUUGGAAACUGGCUUGCUAGAGUGUGGCAGAGGGGGGUGGAAUUCCGCGUGUAGCAGUGAAAUGCGUAGAGAUGCGGAGGAACACCGAUGGCGAAGGCAGCCCCCUGGGCCGACACUGACGCUCAGGCACGAAAGCGUGGGGAGCGAACAGG
This 253-nucleotide ribosomal RNA is filed under the name uncultured bacterium. RNAcentral's name for it is "partial 16S ribosomal RNA". It matches the Rfam family "Bacterial small subunit ribosomal RNA", at positions 524 to 776 of the family's 1533-position model. The record is from RNAcentral.